GACGAACGCUGGCGGUAUGCUUAACACAUGCAAGUCGAACGAGAAGUCUUUUAUUGAACCUUCGGGGGAUAUAAGAGACAGACAGUGGCGAACGGGUGAGUAACGCGUGGGCAACCUACCUAUCGGAGCGGGAUAGCCUCGAGAAAUCGGGAGUAAAACCGCAUAACACGGAUAUAUCGCAUGAUGAAUCCGUCAAAACUCCGGUGCCGAUAGAUGGGCCCGCGUCUGAUUAGCUAGUUGGUAAGGUAAGGGCUUACCAAGGCAACGAUCAGUAGCCGGUCUGAGAGGGCGAACGGCCACACUGGAACUGAGACACGGUCCAGACUCCUACGGGAGGCAGCAGUGGGGAAUAUUGCGCAAUGGGGGCAACCCUGACGCAGCAAUACCGCGUGAGUGAAGAAGGUUUUCGGAUCGUAAAGCUCUGUUAUUGGGGAAGAAGCAGUGACGGUACCCAAUGAGGAAGUCCCGGCUAACUACGUGCCAGCAGCCGCGGUAAUACGUAGGGGACGAGCGUUGUCCGGAAUCACUGGGCGUAAAGGGCGCGUAGGCGGUUUUAUAAGUCAGAUGUGAAAGGUACCGGCUCAACCGGUGACGUGCAUUUGAAACUGUAAGACUUGAGUACUGAAGAGGCAAGCGGAAUUCCUAGUGUAGCGGUGAAAAUGCGUAGAUAUUAGGAAGAACACCGGUGGCGAAGGCGGCUUGCUGGGCAGAUACUGACGCUGAGGUGCGAAAGCGUGGGGAGCGAACAGG
Molecule: ribosomal RNA, 750 nt
Filed under: uncultured Pseudoramibacter sp.
Lineage: Bacteria; Bacillati; Bacillota; Clostridia; Eubacteriales; Eubacteriaceae
Description: bacterial SSU rRNA
Rfam family: Bacterial small subunit ribosomal RNA
Source: RNAcentral